This 418-nucleotide unclassified non-coding RNA is filed under the name fungal sp. RNAcentral's name for it is "partial internal transcribed spacer region". The stretch from base 1 to 46 matches the Rfam family "Eukaryotic small subunit ribosomal RNA", at positions 1786 to 1831 of the family's 1831-position model. The record is from RNAcentral. Lineage: Eukaryota; Fungi.
AAGUCGUAACAAGGUUUCCGUAGGUGAACCUACGGAAGGAUCAUUAACACGUAUCCAACCGUUAAACCCCCUCCGUGAACCUUCAUCCCGUUCUUGUAACCCGCGAAGCUUGCAAUCUCUGGUAAAUCAUAGCCCGGAAAGUAGUUUGAUUCAUAUACCUCUGGCCCGUGAGAACAUUGGAACAGUUACAAUCUACUGCGGUAGUUCUAUAGGCAUUGUUUCCCCAAGCAAUCAGUGUCUGAAAGUUUCAUUGGUUUUGCAAGGAUAGCGCUUCACAAUUCCUGUAGACCGUACACUAGGGCAGGAGCUAUGCCGAAGGUUCCCCAUGCCCCCUAUAACCCUACAGUUUAAUGUAGCUCAAUGUAAUACAUUGGGUAAAAAAAUCGAACAACUGUUAACAAUGGAUAUCUUGGUUCUC